GAUGAACGCUGGCGGCGUGCCUAAUACAUGCAAGUCGAGCGAACGGACGAGAAGCUUGCUUCUCUGAUGUUAGCGGCGGACGGGUGAGUAACACGUGGAUAACCUACCUAUAAGACUGGGAUAACUUCGGGAAGCCGGAGCUAAUACCGGAUAAUAUUUUGAACCGCAUGGUUCAAAAGUGAAAGACGGUCUUGCUGUCACUUAUAGAUGGAUCCGCGCUGCAUUAGCUAGUUGGUAAGGUAACGGCUUACCAAGGCAACGAUGCAUAGCCGACCUGAGAGGGUGAUCGGCCACACUGGAACUGAGACACGGUCCAGACUCCUACGGGAGGCAGCAGUAGGGAAUCUUCCGCAAUGGGCGAAAGCCUGACGGAGCAACGCCGCGUGAGUGAUGAAGGUCUUCGGAUCGUAAAACUCUGUUAUUAGGGAAGAACAUAUGUGUAAGUAACUGUGCACAUCUUGACGGUAUCUAAUCAGAAAGCCACGGCUAACUACGUG
This 497-nucleotide ribosomal RNA is filed under the name uncultured bacterium. Its description in RNAcentral is "partial 16S ribosomal RNA". It matches the Rfam family "Bacterial small subunit ribosomal RNA", at positions 28 to 507 of the family's 1533-position model. The record is from RNAcentral.